CGGUAAUUCCAGCUCCAAUAGCGUAUACUAACGUUGUUGCAGUUAAAAAGCUCGUAGUUGGAUUUCUGAUCUUUGCCAAUGGUUGUGUCGCCGCGUGCGAGGCGCCUUGCGCAGAGGUCAACAUAUGUCACGAGCCAGUGUGAUCUAUUCAUUUAGGUCCACUGGGUAAUGACUCGUUUACUUUGAGAAAAUUAGAGUGUUCAAAGCAGGCAUUUGCCUUGAAUAUGUUAGCAUGGAAUAAUAGCAUAGGACUUCGGUUCUAUUUGUUGGUUGUUCGAGAACUGGAGUAAUGAUUGAUAGGGACGGUUGGGGGCAUCCGUAUUCUCAAGCGAGAGGUGAAAUUCUUGGACCUUGGGAAGACGAACAGCUGCGAAAGCGUUUGCCUAGGACGUUCUCUUUAAUCAAGAACGAAAGUUGGGGGAUCGAAGACGAUCAGAUACCGUCGUAGUCUCAACUAUAAACUAUGCCAGCUAGGGAUCGGUGGGUCUUUGUCACGAGUCCAUCGGCACCUUACGAGAAAUCAAAGCAUUUGGGUUCCGGGGGGAGUAUGGUCGCAAGGCUGAAACUUAAAGGAAUUGACGGAAGGGCACCACCAGGAGUGGAGCCUGUGGCUUAAUUUGACUCAACACGGGAAAACUUACCAGGUCCGGACAUAGUAAGGAUUGACAGAUUGAAAGCUCUUUCUUGAUUCUAUGGGUGGUGGUGCAUGGCCGUUCUUAGUUGGUGGAGUGAUUUGUCUGGUUAAUUCCGUUAACGAACGAGACCCGCGCCUGCUAAAUAGUCGGCCUCACUUCUGUGGGUGUUGUACUUCUUAGAGGGACCAUCCUGGGUAUACCGGAAGGAAGUUGCGGGCAAUAACAGGUCUGUGAUGCCCUUAGAUGUUCUGGGCUGCACACGGGCUACACUGCAAGAUACAACAAGCGUCGAUCACGCCUGACUGGAAGGUCCGGCCAAUCUUUGAAUAUCUUGCGUGAUUGGGAUAGACCAUUGCAAUUAUUGGUCUUCAACGAGGGAUUCCUAGUAAACGCGUGUCAACAACACGCAUUGAUUACGUCCCUGCCCUUUGUACACACCGCCCGUCGCUCCUACCGAUUGGAUGUUUCGAUGAGCCGUUUGGAGGACUAAGCUGAAAGCGUCAGCCGGAAGCUACGUCCGAAAUUCUGCAAAUCUGAAUAUCUAGAGGAAGGAGAAGUCGUAACAAGGUAGCCG
This 1209-nucleotide ribosomal RNA is filed under the name uncultured stramenopile. Its description in RNAcentral is "SSU rRNA". It matches the Rfam family "Eukaryotic small subunit ribosomal RNA", at positions 577 to 1805 of the family's 1831-position model. The record is from RNAcentral.